Molecule: ribosomal RNA, 271 nt
Filed under: uncultured archaeon
Lineage: Archaea
Description: partial 16S ribosomal RNA
Rfam family: Archaeal small subunit ribosomal RNA
Source: RNAcentral
CAGCGCCACAAGUGGCAAUCACGUUUAUUGGGCCUAAAGCGUCCGUAGCCGGUUUAGCAAAUCUUUUGUGAAAUCGUCAGGCCUAACUUGACGAAUUGCAGAAGACACUACUAAACUAGGGACUGGGAGGAGUCAGAAGUAUUCUGGGGGGACCGGUAAAAUGGUAUAAUCCCCAGAGGACUACCGAUGGCGAAGGCAUCUGACCAGAACAGAUCCGACGGUGAGGGACGAAAGCCAGGGGAGCAAACCGGAUUAGAUACCCGAGUAGUCC